UGUGCAGAAUUUAUUUAACUGUAUGCAGUGUUAAAUUAAUUGUGUACGAUGUUAAUUUAACUGAGUACCAUAUUUAAUUAACUGUGUAUCCUAUUAAAUUAACUGUGUACGAUAUUAAUUUAACUAUGUGUAGGAUUAGUUUAACUGUAUACCAUAUUAAUUUAACUGUAUACCAUAUUUAGUUAAAUAUGCACCAUAUUAAAUUAACUAUGUAUCAUAUUAAUUUAACUA
RNAcentral lists this long non-coding RNA (231 nucleotides) under Elaeis guineensis (African oil palm). RNAcentral describes it as "long non-coding RNA (EGUI_LNC077034)". Lineage: Eukaryota; Viridiplantae; Streptophyta; Magnoliopsida; Arecales; Arecaceae. The record is from RNAcentral.